This 585-nucleotide small RNA is filed under the name Pongo abelii (Sumatran orangutan). RNAcentral's name for it is "retained intron". Lineage: Eukaryota; Metazoa; Chordata; Mammalia; Primates; Hominidae. The record is from RNAcentral.
UGAAAGUGUCCUAUGAGAAAUUCAGCAGCCUGAGGGCCGAAGACAUUGAGCAGAUGCGGUUUAAACAGAGGCUGAAAGUGAUCCAGUCCUUGGAGGACACGGCCAAGAGGAGUGUGGUAUGGGUGCCAGCAGGGCUGGGCGGGGGCUGGGCCAGGGGGCAGCAGUGCCUUCUCCACAGAGCAGGGCGGGUACAGGGCUCCACCGCACCCAGUCUCCUACACUGCUUUGGUAUGUACAUCAUGGUAGGAUUCAUGGGACCGGGAUCCAGGGGUGUAGGUGGGAAUGUGGGGAGAGGUUCCAGUCACUUUUCUCUGCUGGUGGAUGCGUCACCGGGAAGCUUCUCAGAUGGCUCCCACCCUGAAAGCCACAUGCCCUCUGGGCCGAGCCCGCCCAGCCUGGCUGUCCCAUGUGCUCCCUGCCCCACUCCCAGGUAGCAACAUGCCGCCACCCUCCGCACACCCCAAAUGGCGUGUGUGCCACAAGCUUCUGUUCUCAUCUCUGGAGGGGCCAGGCCUUCCCUGCCAUCCUGUGCUGCAAGACCUGUUCGUGGUCUCUGCCCCCAAAGGCAGGGACUUCCUCCAUUGU